AGAUAUCUGAAGUGUACGUUGUUUACACAUCGUGCGAACCGAACACUUUAUUAUUAUAUAGGGAUUCUACUGAAGGUCUGGAAUGACAACCCUUUUACACUUGGAAGUCAGGAAGGAUUUUCUUGAAGCCCACCUGCAGUUACUUGCGGGUUCAUUACAUGUGUACGCCUUGACGGCAUAUUCGGAUAUUCU
This is a non-coding RNA of Globicatella sp. HMSC072A10, 192 nucleotides long. Lineage: Bacteria; Bacillati; Bacillota; Bacilli; Lactobacillales; Aerococcaceae. The record is from Rfam.